Molecule: ribosomal RNA, 396 nt
Filed under: Phocaeicola plebeius
Lineage: Bacteria; Pseudomonadati; Bacteroidota; Bacteroidia; Bacteroidales; Bacteroidaceae
Description: bacterial SSU rRNA
Rfam family: Bacterial small subunit ribosomal RNA
Source: RNAcentral
UUUUACAAUGAAGAGUUUGAUCCUGGCUCAGGAUGAACGCUAGCUACAGGCUUAACACAUGCAAGUCGAGGGGCAGCGGGAUUGAAGCUUGCUUCAAUUGCCGGCGACCGGCGCACGGGUGAGUAACGCGUAUCCAACCUUCCGUACACUCAGGGAUAGCCUUUCGAAAGAAAGAUUAAUACCUGAUGGUAUGAUGAGAUUGCAUGAUAUCAUCAUUAAAGAUUUAUCGGUGUACGAUGGGGAUGCGUUCCAUUAGGUAGUAGGCGGGGUAACGGCCCACCUAGCCAACGAUGGAUAGGGGUUCUGAGAGGAAGGUCCCCCACAUUGGAACUGAGACACGGUCCAAACUCCUACGGGAGGCAGCAGUGAGGAAUAUUGGUCAAUGGACGAGAGUCU